Molecule: long non-coding RNA, 479 nt
Filed under: Salvia miltiorrhiza (redroot sage)
Lineage: Eukaryota; Viridiplantae; Streptophyta; Magnoliopsida; Lamiales; Lamiaceae
Description: long non-coding RNA (SMIL_LNC011221)
Source: RNAcentral
UCUUCAGGUUUAUUUUUUCAUCAUCAUCGUCAUCAUCAUUGUGACUUCAACUCUCUGUGUGUAUGUAUGUGUGUGUGUGUGUGUUUCUUUUUCUCUUUUCCUUUUUUUUUCUGUGAAUUUUUUGUAUGAUGGUUUUCUUGUACGUUUAUUUCAAAUUCUUUUUAGUCUCCAUAUCUAUGAAUGCUGUUCAUAAAAGGGGUUUUGAUCAAACGAUCAAUAUUUUUUUUUCUUUUUUCAUUCAAGUGGGAUUUUCUUAUUUUGUUGCAGUUCUUGAUAUGUUGCAAGAUUUAAUUUUUAUGAUUCUUUUUUCCUUUUUGUUAUUGUAGUUGUAUUAUUUAUUUGGAAGAUUUAAAACCAUAAGGUUUGAACAAGCUUUCAAAUGCACAAUGUAUGUAAACUCAUAGCUUCUUUUCCAUUUUGCGUAUUUUUUGAAAAGAAAUCAAUUUAUAUUAUGCUAUUGAACUGCUGAUAUAAUAUGG